UUUUUAUUUAAACUUUUUAAGGUUAUUUUGAAUUCGCUGUGAAGAGAAUGCAACCCUGCGCCAGCUGAAGUGGGCAAUGCAGCUAUAUGUUUUCCUUAGGAAGUAUCUGAAUGAGUGCGACAGUGAUGCAAGGCUCACACGUACAGGGGGAAACUGGUGAAAAUCUGCACACCGCCCAUACAAAGUUCACCAGAUUUUUCACCAGUUUUGAAGUGAACGAAACCCGCGGUUUCACCAGAUUUUUCACCACUUUUGGCUGGCAGAGGAUUUACCAACACAUACCCAACUUUUUUGUCAUCUCACCCACACACUCAAAAGUUGUCGAAAAAAGUUUCCAUAAAGCGAGCAAGUGAAAAUCAGGCGAAAUUUGACAGCGAAUUUCAAAUUUGAUUCUAGUAGGCUGCGAAGAAAAACAUCAAUUUCGCGAAAAAUUUUGGAGAUAGCCAAACAUCAGCAGGAGACUUAAGGCAUCAGAACCUUGAAGAUUGCCAAACAUCUGCAAAGACAUCCACAGCACACUGAACACCAUUGGUCACCAAUAGCUCUCAACCCUACAUCAUACCAGCUACAUUGCUCGGUGAGUUUUAUUGUUCAAAUCAGUCAUGCCCAGCGCAAGGCACUUGCAUAUGGAAUUCUGCCAGCGCAGGGCAUUUGCUUAUGGAGUUCUGCCGACGUUGGGCAUGACUGGUUUAAAUAUUAAGAAACGCGGUUGCUCCAAGUGCAAU
Molecule: long non-coding RNA, 725 nt
Organism: Rhagoletis pomonella (apple maggot)
Lineage: Eukaryota; Metazoa; Arthropoda; Insecta; Diptera; Tephritidae
Exons: 4
Source: RefSeq, a predicted model, not a curated record